AAUUGGCGUAGCGCUUGCUGAGCGGCGGCGGCAACCGACGUACACAAGGGGCUUGAGCGUUCUGUGGAGAGAGUGCGAGGUCAGGCCAUGAACUUGGGAGAUGGUUUAAAGCUUGAAACUGAAUUACUGGAUGGAAAAACCAAGCUAAUAUUGUCUCCAUAUGAACAUAAAUCAAAAAUUUCUGUGAAGAUGGGAAAUAAGGCCAAGAUUGCAAAAUGUCCUUUAAGAACAAAAACUGGGCACAUUCUAAAAUCAACACAAGAUACUUGUAUUGGGAGUGAAAAACUUUUGCAAAAGAAGCCAGUUGGUUCAGAAACAUCACAGGCAAAAGGUGAAAAAAAUGGAAUGACUUUUUCAUCCACUAAGGAUUUAUGUAAACAAUGUAUAGAUAAAGACUGUCUUCAUAUCCAGAAAGAGAUUUCACCUGCAACCCCUAAUAUGCAGAAGACUAGAAACACCGUAAAUACAUCUCUAGUAGGUAAACAGAAGCCUCACAAAAAACACAUCACAGCUGAAAACAUGAAGAGCAGUUUGGUGUGUCUAACACAAGACCAACUACAACAGAUUUUGAUGACUGUAAACCAAGGAAAUAGAUCUCUUUCCCUGACUGAGAAUGGAAAGGAGGCAAAAAGUCAAUAUAGUCUAUAUUUAAACAGUAUUUCUAAUCAGCCAAAGGAUGAGAACAUUAUGGGAUUAUUCAAAAAAACUGAAAUGGUUUCAUCUGUCCCAGCUGAAAAUAAAUCUGUCUUAAAUGAACAUCAGGAGACAUCUAAACAGUGUGAGCAAAAAAUUGCCAUAGAGAAUGAAUGGAAACCAGCUGAUAUAUUCAGUACUCUGGGGGAAAGGGAAUGUGAUAGAAGUUCGUUGGAAGCAAAAAAAGCCCAGUGGAGGAAAGAGCUAGAUGAACAGGUUGCUUUAAAGAAGAAAGAAAAAGAAGUUUCUGAAAAAUGGAAUGAUCCUUGGAAAAAAUCUGAAAGUGAUAAAAUAAUAUGGGAAAAACAUCAAAUUCUUGACCAAUCUAGGGCUGGAAUGCAGUGGCACAGUCUCAGCUCACUGCAACCUACCCCUCCCAGGCUCAAGCGAUUCUCCUGCCUCAGCCUCCCGAGUAGCUAGGACUACAGCUCUUCAAGCAUUCUAUCACAGUCUCGUAGCCAGGUUAUGGUGGUCCAAGCUGAUGGGGCAUUCACAACUUAGAGCUAGUCAGACUUUAGAGGAAACAGUACUGCUGGAGCACCCUUUCAGUGCUGUGAAACAAGAACUGCAAAGAAAAUGGAUUGAAGAGUUGAAUAAGCAAAUAGAAGAUGACCGUCAAAGAAAAAUAGAGGAAAAAAUUAUAUAUUCAAAGGGUGAGGAACAUGACAGAUGGGCAAUGCACUUUGAUUCAUUAAAGAGUUAUCCUGGUUCUCAAUCUCAGCUGUUCUCUCAGUCAACACACAAACAACCUGAGUACUUCUGUGUCUCUCCUGACACUCAGGAGCUGGCUGAUGUCAGCAGUGUUUGUACACCUACAACCGGAAGCCAGGUUGAACCUUCAGAGGAGGAGCAUAUAGCAAAACCUAUUAAGGAUGUGGUUAUGGCAAACAGUAAGAAAACAAACUUUCUCCGUUCUAUGACUGCUCUCUUGGACCCAGCUCAGAUUGAGGAACGAGACAGACGACGACAAAAACAAUUAGAGCAUCAGAAAGCCAUCACUGCCCAGGUAGAAGAGAAGCGCAGGAAGAAACAACUGGAGGAAGAGCAAAGAAAGAAGGAAGAACAAGAAGAGGAGCUUCGCUUAGCACAGGAACGUGAAGAGAUGCAGAAACAGUAUGAAGAAGACAUACUUAAGCAAAAACAAAAGGAAGUAGGAAAUCAUGACUCUCAAGACAAAUGAGCUAUUCCAGACAAUGCAGCGAGCACAGGAACUGGCACAGAGACUAAAACAAGAACAAAGAAUCCGAGAAUUGGCGCAAAAGGGACAUGACACUUCUAGACUGAUUAAAAAUCUUGGUGUUGAUACAAUACAAAUGGAAUAUAAUGCAUCUAACAUUUCAAAUUCAAGACAUGAUUCUGAUGAAAUCAGUGGUAAAAUGAAUACAUAUAUGAAUUCUACGACUUCUAAGAAGGAUACUGGUGUGCAAACAGAUGACUUAAAUAUAGGAAUAUUCACCAAUGCAGAAUCACAUUGUGGAUCAUUAAUGGAGAGGGACAUCACAAAUUGUUCAUCUCCUGAGAUUUCGGCAGAACUUAUUGGACAGUUUAGCACCAAGAAAAACAAGCAAGAACUAACUCAGGAUAAAGGAGCCAGCUUAGAAAAAGAAAACAAUCGGUGUAAUGACCAGUGUAAUCAGUUCACAAGAAUAGAGAAACAAACAAAACACAUGAAGAAAUAUCCUAAAAGGCCUGAUUGGAAUAUAAAUAAGCCACCUAAAAGGUAUAUUCCAGCAUCAGAAAAGUACCCUAAACAGCUUCAAAAGCAGAGAGAAGAAAAAAAAGUAAGGAGGCAGAUGGAAUUGCUUCAUUUGGUAGAAAAAAAUAAUCCUGGGCACCUCUCUCAAAACAGAGGCAUUUCACCAGAAAUUUUUCAUUCAUCUCAUCAAGAAACGGAGUCAAAGUUGAGGUGGCAUCUAGUCAAAAAGGAAGAAGAGCCUCUGAAUAUUCAUUCAUUCAGCAAGGAAAGGUCUCCAUCAUCACCAGUUCCAGUAGUGAAAAACAGAACCCAACAAACUCAAAAUACAUUACAUUUACCACUAAAAAACAGUAGCUAUGAGAGAGAGAAUUUGAUCUCAGGAAGUAAUCAAACAGAAUUAUCAUCUGGGAUUUCUGAAUCAUCCCAUUUUAUUCCGUAUGUUCGAACAAAUGAGAUCUAUUACCUUGAUCCCGAUGCACCAUUGUCUGGGCCUUCAACCCAGGACCCUCAGUACCAAAAUUCACAAGACUGUGGCCAAAAACGACAGCUAUUUGAUUCUGACUGUGUCAGGGAUCCACUUCUUAAUCCUAACAUGGUGAAAAAUAGGGAUCGACAGCAAGCAAUCCUUAAGGGACUUUCAGAACUGAGACAGGGCCUUCUCCAGAAGCAAAAGGAGUUGGAAAGUAGUCUCCUGCCUUUAGCUGAAAAUCAAGAAGAGAGUUUUGGUUCUUCAUUUUAAAUGUAGAAAAUCAAAUCCUUCACAUUUGAUUUGUGUCUUCCAAAUUAUAAAAUGUGCUCACUGGCUCAACUGUAUUUUUCAAAUAGCCUAGAUUUACUUAUUUUUUUAAAUGCUCAUUAAAAACUUGUAUACUAUGUAGUAAAAUGCUGUACUUGUUCUAUACAAUAAAACAGAUACUUCUUUUGUAAAAGCUUAGUAGUAAAAAAAAAAAAAAAAAAA
Molecule: RNA transcript, 3347 nt
Organism: Homo sapiens (human)
Lineage: Eukaryota; Metazoa; Chordata; Mammalia; Primates; Hominidae
Gene: CCDC66
Gene name: coiled-coil domain containing 66
Exons: 20
Source: RefSeq, marked validated